RNAcentral lists this ribosomal RNA (417 nucleotides) under Geobacillus stearothermophilus. RNAcentral describes it as "bacterial LSU rRNA". It matches the Rfam family "Bacterial large subunit ribosomal RNA", at positions 1166 to 1584 of the family's 2925-position model. The record is from RNAcentral. Lineage: Bacteria; Bacillati; Bacillota; Bacilli; Caryophanales; Anoxybacillaceae.
GAAAAUGUACCGGGGCUAAACGUGCCGCCGAAGCUGCGGGAUGACCGUUGGUCAUCGGUAGGGGAGCGUUCUAAGGGCGUUGAAGCCAGACCGGAAGGACUGGUGGAGCGCUUAGAAGUGAGAAUGCCGGUAUGAGUAGCGAAAACAGAGGUGAGAAUCCUCUGCGCCGAAAGCCUAAGGGUUCCUGAGGAAGGUUCGUCCGCUCAGGAUUAGUCGGGACCUAAGCCGAGGCCGAAAGGCGUAGGUGAUGGACAACAGGUUGAGAUUCCUGUACCACCUCCUUCCCGUUUGAGCGAUGGGGGGACGCAGGAGGAUAGGGCGAGCAGGCGGCUGGAAGAGCCUGUCCAAGCCGCAAGGCUGAUCCGUAGGCAAAUCCGCGGAUUGUAAGGCCAAGCGGUGAUGGCGACGGAGUCAUCC